CCUACGGGAGGCAGCAGUAGGGAAUAUUGCUCAAUGGGGGAAACCCUGAAGCAGCAACGCCGCGUGGAGGAUGAAGGUUUUCGGAUUGUAAACUCCUUUUGUUAGAGAAGAUAAUGACGGUAUCUAACGAAUAAGCACCGGCUAACUCCGUGCCAGCAGCCGCGGUAAUACGGAGGGUGCAAGCGUUACCCGGAAUUACUGGGCGUAAAGAGCGCGUAGGCGGGAUAGCAAGUCAGAUGUGAAAUCCUAUGGCUUAACCAUAGAACUGCAAUUGAAACUGUUAUUCUAGAGUACGGGAGAGGUAGGUGGAAUUCGUGGUGUAGGGGUAAAAUCCGUAGAGAUCAAGAAGAAUUCUGAUUGCGAAGGCAGCCUGCUAAAACGUAACUGACACUGAUGCGCGAAAGCGUGGGGAGCAAACAGGAUUAGGUACCCGUGUAGUC
This 440-nucleotide ribosomal RNA is filed under the name uncultured bacterium. RNAcentral describes it as "partial 16S ribosomal RNA". It matches the Rfam family "Bacterial small subunit ribosomal RNA", at positions 338 to 795 of the family's 1533-position model. The record is from RNAcentral.